This 2241-nucleotide long non-coding RNA is filed under the name Homo sapiens (human). Its description in RNAcentral is "HSALNT0331066". Lineage: Eukaryota; Metazoa; Chordata; Mammalia; Primates; Hominidae. The record is from RNAcentral.
CCAUAUUUCCAUCAGAUGUGUUUCUCAAGCACUCUGCCACUCCUUUCUACCUCUCCUGCGUUUGAUCUGAGGACGGCCCGUUCCACAGGAACACAAAGGCACAGAAGAUGAAGUAACUUGCCCACGGCCACACGGUUGGUAAGUAUUGGGGCUAACUUCCACCUGAGCCAUUUGGCCCCAGAGCCUGCCUUUCUAGCCACUGGGGUCUCUGUGUCUCCUCCCAUCUGGCCAAUGCACUUAAGGUCUUCCAGGUUUGACGUGGGUACCAGGAUCUGAAGUAUCAGCCUUUCAGUGUUAGCACAAAGCAGGCAGAAAACUCAUGCGAUUGUUAAAAGUGAGGCUUCUGGGGCCAGUCAGGUCUGGGUGUGAAUGUCCGUCAUUUACUGACCCUGAGGAACUUAUUUUCCCCCUUCUCAGCCUUGGUCCCCUCCUCUGUGAAGUGAGAAUAAUAAUGGUAUUGACCUCAGAGAGUUGUUGUGAGGAGGAAGUGAAGUAAUGCGUGCAAAGUGCUCAAUAGAUAUUAUUUGUUAUCAUUAUUAUUCUUAAAGAGCAAAGAUUGCAAUGUCUCUCAAUCGGACUCUCACUCCACUCAAUUCCCCAGAAGGUAGUGUGCUGGAAAGGUAGGAAUUGUGAAAGGGGUUUGAGAAUCAACUAUGAUAAAGUAGAGCUUGUGGAGUCUUUGGAGAAAGGCUCUCUUGCUUUCAGAAGUCCAGAGUAGUUCAGGGCAUUAUCCAAAUCCCAUGAUGUUAGGGGUACUUGGUGGCCAAUAAAACCACCCCCAUUCUUCUGGCCCAAUGGGCUCUGUCUUAAUCUUCAUGACUCCAGGGCCCCAGGGCUCAGGGCUACAGGAAGGAAAAGUACUCCAGGCUGAAGAUGGGACUCAUAAAGAAGCUUCCUGUCUCCCAAGGCCAUCUCAAACUUCACUCAGAGGAUGCUGGGGGUAGCUUUAAUUGGCCCUCCUCGCCACACGCGGUGCAAACAGCCCUGGAAUGUUUCCUUAGAUGAGGCCGUCUCUGACUUACAGGAAUAAAGAGUCACCUUUAAUUCCUGGGUCCAGAAGGAGCCCAAAUGAAUUUAGAACAACUAAAGACUCAGUUCAGAGGGACACUGAAAAAAGCAACCAAUAAUUACAGCUUGGGAGCCAUGAAGUAGCCCAAAGAGACCGAGGUCUGUCCAUAGGAGACCAAAGAAAGAAUUUUGUUUACCAAUUUUUCAUUUAUACUCCACCUACUUCCCAAAAGAAUUUGGGGUGGCUGACAGGAGAAAGCAAACAAGAAUCCCGGCUCUAAGACUUUACCCACUGGUAAAGCUCCUGAGAUGGAUCUAAUAAAGUGGGUUAUUUUGCCACGAGAAAAAAGAGACAGAUCAUGGAACCAAACAAGUCACAUGGAGGGACCAGCUACUCAUUUGCAUGACGCACAUUGAGAAGAGAAACCAUUGUGAACACUUCUUUUUCUAGCAUCAUCAAAGAAUGAAAUUUUUCAUUCAACCUUGCCAUCUUUAAAUGACUGAUUCCUCUCUGUUCUGGGCUCCGAAAUACUACCGUUAGAAUUCUUAGUGCAAACGCGACACAAGUAAUUGCAUCGAUUUAUCAGGUGGCUUCCAUUGUGGCCGUUGGUGCAGGACUGGAUGCUGGUUUGGGGUAGAGGAAGCGAACAUCUAGAUUCUCCAGACUUCUAGGGAAAGAAAGGAUGGGCAGGCAUGGGGUACAGGUGGGGUUGGUCUGACUGCAGAGUGGGGAACAUGGAGAAAAUAGAAGGUGGGCAAAUGCAUGGCAGCAAGAAACUGACAUUUUUUGAGCAUCUAUUUUAUGUUUAGGCCUUUCCAAUGUUACCUCUACAACAACCCUGUGAGAAUGGCAUUUUUACUCCUAAUCAUACGAAGGAGGAAACUGAGGCUCAGAGAAGUGCAGUGAUGGACCUAACUCACUCAGGAGAGAAGCAAGUUCUGACUUGUUCACAAUGAGAUCCAGCUCCAACCGAUUUAAAAUCGUGGGGAGCAUGACACUUCUUGGCUGCUGUGGCAUCCUGGAAGUCCAGACCUGAGGGUGCUUUAGGGAUUCUCUUAGUACAACCUUCUCCUUUGACAGAUAAGGAAGCAAAAGCUCAAGGGCCUGAGGCCUCUUGCCUACUUUGUGAUAGCAGAGGCUCAACUUGAAAGUCAGCUUUAAAUUCCAGGGUCCUGCUGCUUUCUGGAUGGCCACCAUGACACCACCUCACACAAACCUCCCUAAAAUUCUCC